UGCCAUGACCAGGAUUCGAACCUGAGUUAUAAAGGCCACAACGCAAUGUCCUAACCACUAGACGAUCACGGC
This 72-nucleotide transfer RNA is filed under the name Cordylochernes scorpioides. RNAcentral describes it as "tRNA-His". The record is from RNAcentral. Lineage: Eukaryota; Metazoa; Arthropoda; Arachnida; Pseudoscorpiones; Chernetidae.